AGUGAACGCUGGCGGCGUGCCUAAUACAUGCAAGUCGAACGAUGAAGUCCUAGCUUGCUCGGAUGGAUUAGUGGCGCACGGGUGAGUAAUAUAUAGUUAAUCUGCCCUACACAGAGGAACAACAGUUGGAAACGACUGCUAAUACCUCAUACUCCUAUUUGACAUAAGUUAAAUAGGGAAAGUCUUUUCGGUGUAGGAUGAGACUAUAUCGUAUCAGCUAGUUGGUAAGGUAAUGGCUUACCAAGGCUAUGACGCGUAACUGGUCUGAGAGGAUGAUCAGGCAAAUUAGAAGUGAGACACGGGCCAGACACCUCCGGGAGGCAGCAGUAAGGUAUAUUGCACAAUGGGGGAAACGCUAACACAGCAACGCCGCGUGGAGGAUGACACUUUGCAAAGAAUAAACUCCUUUUAUCAGGAGAGAAUAAUGACGGUACCUGAUGAAUAAGCACCGGCUAACUCCGUG
Molecule: ribosomal RNA, 463 nt
Filed under: uncultured bacterium
Lineage: Bacteria
Description: partial 16S ribosomal RNA
Rfam family: Bacterial small subunit ribosomal RNA
Source: RNAcentral